UGGGAGUGCUGGCAUGUUUAUUUUAAGAAAAUGGGAAAGUCAACCCAACAAUUUCACUUUUCAUUCACCUACUGUCAAACCUUGUAGGUCUCCCUCAGGCAAAAAUCCAACCUGUGUCAGCAGGACUGUUGGGUUUGUCAUUUUUUUUUCUUUUUUUUUUUUUUUUAAAACGAGGCCUGUAGGAUCCAGUCCAGCAACUCUUCAACCAUCAUGUUCAGGGAUUAGUCUGUACUUGACCGGUUUCUCAUUCUUCUGAGGCAAAUUCUGUAGAAAGAACGGGACAGUGCUGCACCAAACAAGCAUAAAUGCUUUCCCUGUUUGCUUCUGGGGCCUAUGUGAGCUUCUGAGAUCAGAGACUGGGACCAAAUUUUCUUCUUGCGUUCUUCAGUGUAGUUCCUCUGAAGUCACUGCUACCAGAUAAGCUGUGUAGCAUAGCACAGCCUUAUGUGGCCACUUGGAUUGAGUGGCUUAUUUUUAGCUCAAACCUCCACCUUAAGUGAUGCCAGUUUUAAUAAUCCAUCCAGUACAGCCUUGGUGGUACCAGCAAAACUCCCGCUGCACAAGGUGCUAUGCUCGGACUGUUAAACAGAAUACAGUAGAAGUCAGACAAAAGCUUGAAAAUGUUGCAGAAUUGUGUGUGUGUUUAGACCAGUUUGUCUGGCACAUUGCAUCCUAGGGUAUGUUUUAGGGGAAGAAGCUGCACAGAUGUAACCAUUUUUUGCAACCAGUGCAACUUCUGGGGUAAAAGCUACACUGCCACUUGCUGGUUUCACUGUUCUCCCCAGAAUAGAAGUUUUAGGUAUGUUGACUUUUAUCCUGGAAUAUGAGGUGCAGGAUUUGUCAAAUGAAAUGAACAGCUGCACAUACUCUUUGUUGCACAGAAACAGCCUGGGGAAUGUGGAAACUGAUGAGUGCUACUAGAUAUAGAAAGACCACCUGAAAACCCCAUGGGUGCCAGUUCACCAUUACAAAGAUGUGACCUGGAAAUCCUUCUUAUACAUGGCUCAGUAUGUUGCACGGACCUAUAAUGGAAGCUUACAAAAAGCAACUCAUCGUCUAACAGAGCAGUUUUUCACCUGGUGCAUGCCCAAACCUGAUCCAAGCACAUCCCAUAGCACCUUGGCUACCAGAUGUGAAUUGCUAUUAAACCAACUGCUGCCUACAUUAGUUGGGAACAUUGCUUACUAAGUAUGUUCAGAUUUCUGGUUGUCUUGCACCUAGCUAUUAUCUGAUCUUAAAAAGCUACCCAGCAUUCCCCUGCCAGUGAAGGCAAUGCAAGUGUCUCUGUGACAGAAAAGCAGCUUUCUGCGGAUCGGGUAGGUCUGCAGGACAUCAUUCUCAGCUCAGGAAGCAAGAGAGGAGAUUGAGAGCACAAAAUAGCAUCUAGAAAACAGCCAGCUAAACAUAUGACUUCUAUGCCAGUUCAAUUUCCUUGGGACUUUCCCAGCAUUUUUACCCCAACUGUUUGCAAUAGUGAAAAAAAAAUGUUGAGAUUCAAGAUUUCUUUUUCUGGCCCAGGCAUCCUAAUAGUUCUUCAGCCUGGCUGCAAAACUACAUAAACAAGGAUGAAAUUCUGGCCCGUGAAAUUCAUGGCAAAACUCCCACUGAUCUGAAUGAAGCCAAACGUUCACCCCCACCUUCCAAAAUGUACGCACUCAGAUUUAAAAUACAUUUUACAAAUACAGCUUUAAAAUGUUCUUUCCAGGGCUGGAUAGAAGAAGGAACAUCAAAGAGUGCAGCCUUGCUGUUUUCAUUAAACUUUCACCAAGUUUGGCUAUCUGUGAUGAAACAACAACAGUUGUGAUCCUGCGUUCUCAUUGAGAUUGUUAUCAAAAUUAGCAAAAGCAGUUAAGUCAGAAGAGUGAGAAAGCUGUGAAUGAAGUUCGGCUCCAGCUGCUGGAACUUUCCUCCAAUGCUGCUUGUUUGUCUCCUUAACUACAAUUCAUCUUUCCUUUUUCCCUGUUGCUUACAACCUCCAGUCCUCAGUAGGAUGCUAGAUUCCUUGGCAAAGAGAUGCAGGCUGUGUCCAUUCUUCACACUCCACUGAUCAUUAACUCAUCUGCAAAAAUUCCUUCCAGAUAUCUUACAUCCUCCCUUCUGUUGCUGCAAUGCAGCAGCGUACCUCCAGACUGUCUUUGGUAUUUUAUUUUUGUGUAGAAAGCCAUAGGAACUUCAGGACGUGUGAUGAGCACCAGGCUUUCCAGAGAGCCCAUGCUGUUCGAGGAAAUGCUCUUGAGGGAGCAGCAGGCUGUACCUUGCCCAUAGAUAAGCAGCGGCGAGCAGUUCUGCAGUGAACCGCGUGGUCUCCACUCGGUAAGAAAUGUAAUCCCUCUAAGUCAACAAGGUAGGCAGGGCACCAAUAGCUUUCUCAGAACAAAACAGACAUUAUUACACCACUGGUAGUAAAGCAACAGAAGUUGACAGUACACGUCUCCAUUACCACAGUAAAGCCGUUCACAAAUACAGCCGUCUGAAUCCUCUCCAAGUGUUUGGAAUUAAGCGGGAUGCAAUGUGGCAGAAGAAAGUUGCUCCAAGGAUGGGUUUUACAUUGAGUGAGAGGAAGAGACAUUAUGCCAUGAGGAGCUGUAAAAAGAUUUCUCCAGACUCUCUCUACAGACGUGUCCCAUGCUACAAAAUUGCUGGAAUAGAGCUCUGAGAGCUCCGGCCUGCAGCAGCAACUCCAUUACCCAAGCCAGCCUUCCCCAAGUGAACAUUGAUCAACUGUCUGAAUCCAUCAUAAAAGUUUCUUUCUGUUACCAGCCUCACCACCAGGAAAACUGAAGGAAUGGUUACCAGAAAAAAAGACAAUGCAUUUUAAGAAGACCAAGAGAAAAAAUAUCUAAGUUCCCAACAUACAGGAUGGGGAGGUUUAGACUGGAUAUUAGGAAGAAUUUCUUCAUGGAAAGGGUGGUCAAGCAUUGGAAUGGGCUGCCCAGGCUAGUGGUGGAGUCCUCAUCCCGGAGUUAUUAAACAAAUGGGACUGAGUAGUUUAGGUUGAUGGUUGGACCUACUGAUACUGAAUGUCUUUUUCAAUCUAAAUGAUGCUAUGAUUUUACAGAGAAUCCACUGGCUAGGUGCAAGUUCUUCAGGGCAGGAUCAGGGUCAUGCACUGAAUGUCAGCCAGUACCGCAAUAUCAUUAUGAAAAAGGCAAACAACAUGCUGGACUUAUAAACAAGAGAAUAGCCCUCAGGACAAGUGAGGUAAUACUUCCACCCUGAGGACUGCUACCCUGUUUUGGACACAAAAACACCAACCAACUGGAAAAGGUCCAGAAGAGAGGAAGGAGAAGUAAGAGGUCUAGAAAACAGUCAUUGAGAAAGGACUGGAAGAAGUCCAUCCAUCCAGGAAUAUCCCAAUCUAUACAAAGUUGCUGGAAGUGCGGUCACCCACAGAAAAGUUUAUUUUUGAUAGCCGCAGUGUACCAGGAUGCCCAGAGUGCCAGCAUUCACACAAGUAGUGUGACAACCAUGCCAGGCAGUUUGUGAAUGUCUCCAGCUUUCAGUUGCUUUGUGUGGCAACUGAGAAGUGAAAUCAAGCAGUGAGAAGAAAUGUCUGUGAUUCCUGUCACAAGUUGUCCAAACUUUUAGUCAUUUCAUCAGGAAAACGGUUUGCAAAGUUAAAGAAAACUGUAGUUAUUCCACGAAAUUAUUUAACAGGAUGACUAACAUAUAUAUGAAAAUACUUUUAAAAAUUAAUCUAGCCAAUUGGUGAUAUUACCCUGUCAUAACACCUUGCUGCUGGCAAACACAGAACCAGUGAAGACUAAGAACUGCAGCACUCUUGCUUUGCAGAAGGACAGAAGACACUGAAAGCUGCUUUCCAUGAUUUGACCGCUGAAACCACAGGAGCCUUUGGUCAAAAGGAGAUCCAAAAUUAAAUUUUUUUGAGUUCAAGCCUGCUGCUCUCUCAGUCACCAUUGACACAUUCCCAUUCUUGUUUACCCACCAGUACAUGUUGCACGUGUACCAGCCGUGUACAUGUAAGUAAUGUAAGCAAAGUAAUGCUAAAUAAAUGCAAAGUAAUGUACAUGUAAGCAAAGUAAUGCUAAAUCUAGUCACCUUUGACCUUGCAGGGACAUUCAGAUUCAGAGUCUGAGUCGUGACUGAAGUCACAUCCCACAUCAGCACCCACAGUCAGCGUGAGAUUGAGGAUUGCCUUUCCUUACUGCCUCACCUAGUGCGUAGGCACAAAACAGGCGUAGAAAAAAAUAUAUAUCAAUAAAAACAUCCAGUUACUAUAGCACAGGGCAGAAAAGGCCUGGUUGCUCUCUGUUCAAAUCCUUGUUUGGCUGGAGGCAUGUGUGCACCACUUUCAUUUCCUCUCCUCCUCGCUUGCUCUCACACACGCAAUUUCCCUGGAGUAGGCUGCCUGGCACUCCUCAUUUCUGACUACAGCAAGUGGCCUUUCUAAUACACACACACACAAAAGAAAAAAGCUGACAGAGUCAACCUUAUCCCCAGCAGCUCCCCUUUGGUGCCAGCCAGUCCCUCUGACCUGGGCUGCUUCAUGCACAGCAGAUCAGCAGUAUGCAAGCUGGGAG
Numida meleagris (helmeted guineafowl) is the source of this 4541-nucleotide long non-coding RNA. RefSeq lists it as uncharacterized. The record is from RefSeq and is a predicted model, not a curated record. Lineage: Eukaryota; Metazoa; Chordata; Aves; Galliformes; Numididae. The transcript is spliced from 3 exons.